GACGAACGCUGGCGGCGUGCUUAACACAUGCAAGUGGUGCGACGAACCAGGGCUUGCCCUGGGGCCAAGCCGCGAACGGGUGAGUAACACGUGAGUAACCUGCCCCGAUGAUUGGGACAACCCGAGGAAACUCGGGCUAAUACCGAAUGUGGCGCACAAUCGUAAGUUUGUGCGCUAAAGGAAGCUUCGGCCUCCGCAUUGGGAGGGGCUCGCGGCCCAUUAGCUUGUUGGUGGGGUAACGGCCCACCAAGGCAACGAUGGGUAGCUGGUCUGAGAGGACGAUCAGCCACACUGGGACUGAGACACGGCCCAGACUCCUACGGGUGGCAG
RNAcentral lists this ribosomal RNA (330 nucleotides) under uncultured Actinomycetes bacterium. RNAcentral's name for it is "bacterial SSU rRNA". It matches the Rfam family "Bacterial small subunit ribosomal RNA", at positions 28 to 351 of the family's 1533-position model. Lineage: Bacteria; Bacillati; Actinomycetota; Actinomycetes. The record is from RNAcentral.